This 301-nucleotide ribosomal RNA is filed under the name uncultured bacterium. RNAcentral describes it as "partial 16S ribosomal RNA". It matches the Rfam family "Bacterial small subunit ribosomal RNA", at positions 509 to 809 of the family's 1533-position model. The record is from RNAcentral.
CAGUAGCCACGGUAAUACGAAGGGGGCUAGCGUUGUUCGGAAUUACUGGGCGUAAAGGGCGCGUAGGCGGCGACAAUAGUCAGAAGUGAAAGCCCCGGGCUCAACCUGGGAAUUGCUUUUGAUACUGUGUUGCUUGAGUUCGGGAGAGGUGAGUGGAAUUCCCAGUGUAGAGGUGAAAUUCGUAGAUAUUGGGAAGAACACCGGUGGCUAAGGCGGCUCACUGGACCGACACUGACGCUGAGGCGCGAAAGCGUGGGGAGCAAACAGGAUUAGAUACCCGCGUAGUCCCUGUCUCUUAUAA